UCAGUCUGUGGUGCAUGCUCGCAGCCAGCUGCCACGGUCAAUGCCCGCGGGGACCCCAGUCUGCCACUAGCGGCCGCGCGACGCCAGUCGACACGACGCCUCCCACUGCCACCGCCACCUCACCCACAAGAGGACGCGUGCCCGGUGAAGAGGUGCCCACCGCCCACCACCCACCCCCCGGCAGCGGCGACAGGCGCGGCGAUCCCGGCCUCAGGACAGUGCAGUGCUGUGCGCGGCGCCGAGCGGACCGGCAUGCAGUGCUAGCUACUGCCGCGUGCGAGAGUGCGUGCUGAUCGAGCCCGGAGCCAACGUCGCAGCCGCAGUCGCCCGAGUCAGCCAGCAGGAUGCGCUGCUUCUGCAAGAGGAUCCGCACCUUCCACGUCAAGGUGGUGCUGCUCGACGAGCAGGAGCUCAUCCAGGAGAUGCAGGUACAGUAUCUUUCACCGCCUGUUAUGAUCUCCCUAAAGCGAUUGGUCGUCUGUUAGCCGCUUUGGUAAGUAAACGUUAUGAACAUAUCUGGUACGUCUAAUUAGUACGUACAAUUCAC
Molecule: long non-coding RNA, 547 nt
Organism: Schistocerca americana (American grasshopper)
Lineage: Eukaryota; Metazoa; Arthropoda; Insecta; Orthoptera; Acrididae
Exons: 3
Source: RefSeq, a predicted model, not a curated record